RNAcentral lists this ribosomal RNA (909 nucleotides) under uncultured bacterium. RNAcentral describes it as "bacterial SSU rRNA". It matches the Rfam family "Bacterial small subunit ribosomal RNA", at positions 9 to 916 of the family's 1533-position model. The record is from RNAcentral.
GAGUUUGAUCAUGGCUCAGGAUAAACGCUGGCGGCAUGCCUAACACAUGCAAGUCGAACGGGGUUUAUAUAGCGGAACUCUUCGGAGGGAAGCUGUAUAAACCUAGUGGCGGACGGGUGAGUAACGCGUGGGGAACCUGCCCUGUACCGGGGGACAACAGCCAGAAAUGGCUGCUAAUACCGCAUAACCCUGCACUGCCGCAUGGCGGUGCAGGGAAAACUUCGGUGGUACAGGAUGGCCCCGCGUCUGAUUAGCUUGUUGGCGGGGUAACGGCCCACCAAGGCGACGAUCAGUAGCCGGCUUGAGAGAGUGGACGGCCACAUUGGGACUGAGACACGGCCCAGACUCCUGCGGGAGGCAGCAGUGGGGAAUAUUGCACAAUGGGGGGAACCCUGAUGCAGCAAUGCCGCGUGGGUGAAGAAGUACUCCGGUAUGUAAAGCCCUGUCAGCAGGGAAGAAAAUGACGGUACCUGACUAAGAAGCCCCGGCUAACUACGUGCCAGCAGCCGCGGUAAUACGUAGGGGGCGAGCGUUAUCCGGAUUUACUGGGUGUAAAGGGAGCGCAGGCGGCGUGGCAAGUCAGAUGUGAAAACCCGGGGCCCAACCCCGGGACUGCAUUUGAAACUGCCAUGCUGGAGUGCCGGAGAGGUAAGUGGAAUUCCUAGUGUAGCGGUGAAAUGCGUAGAUAUUAGGAGGAACACCAGUGGCGAAGGCGGCUUACUGGACGGUAACUGACGCUGAGGCUCGAAAGCGUGGGGAGCAAACAGGAUUAGAUACCCUGGUAGUCCACGCUGUAAACGAUGAAUACCAGGUGUCGGGGCACAUAAGUGGCCCGGUGCCGCAGCUAACGCACUAAGUAUUCCACCUGGGGAGUACGUUCGCAAGAAUGAAACUCAAAGGAAUUGACGG